GCAAAAAGACCCCUCCACCUCGGGAGGAUUCUCCUACUGAUGAUUAGCCUGUUUCUCUUUCUAGCUCCACUGUGCCUUCUGGACAGCAGGGAAACAGUACAAGGAUGCUGCACCACGACUGUUUUGGAAAAGAAGAAGGAACACUCACUCCACUGAAAUUGCCAAAGUCCAGGAAUUCUUGACUAGAAAG
Molecule: non-coding RNA, 190 nt
Organism: Chelonoidis abingdonii (Abingdon island giant tortoise)
Lineage: Eukaryota; Metazoa; Chordata; Testudines; Testudinidae
Source: RefSeq, a predicted model, not a curated record